RNAcentral lists this ribosomal RNA (254 nucleotides) under uncultured bacterium. RNAcentral describes it as "partial 16S ribosomal RNA". It matches the Rfam family "Bacterial small subunit ribosomal RNA", at positions 524 to 776 of the family's 1533-position model. The record is from RNAcentral.
UACGUAGGGUGCGAGCGUUGCCCGGAUUUAUUGGGCGUAAAGGGCGCGUAGGCGGUCACGCACGUCCGUUGUGAAAUCGCUCGGCUCAACUGGGCGGGGUCAGCGGAUACGGCGUGGCUGGAGCAAGCUAGGGGGCAAUGGAAUUCCCGGUGUAGUGGUGGAAUGCGUAGAUAUCGGGAAGGAACACCAGUGGCGAAGGCGGUUGCCUGGAGCUUUGCUGACGCUGAUGCGCGAAGGCGUGGGGAGCGAACGGG